GCUCAGUAACACGUGGAGAACGUGCCCUUAAGUGGAGGAUAAUCUCGGGAAAUUGAGGAUAAUACCCCAUAGAUCAUGAGAUCUGGAAUGACUCAUGGUUCAAAGUUCCGGCGCUUAAGGAUCGCUCUGCGGCCUAUCAGGUAGUAGUGGGUGUAAAGUACCCCCUAGCCUACGACGGGUAUGGGCCUUGAGAGAGGGAGCCCAGAGUUGGAUUCUGAGACACGAAUCCAGGCCCUACGGGGCGCAGCAGUCGCGAAAACUUCACACUGGGGGCAACCCCGAUGAGGGAAAUCCUAGUGCUAGGACAUUUGUUCUAGCUUUUCUCAAGCGUAGAUAACUUGAGGAAUAAGGGCUGGGUAAGACGGGUGCCAGCCGCCGCGGUAAUACCUGCAGCCCAAGUGGUGGUCGAUUUUAUUGAGUCUAAAACGUUCGUAGCCGGUUUGGUAAAUCUUUGGGUAAAUCGGGAGGCUCAACUUUCCGACUUCCGAAGAGACUGUCAAACUUGGGACCGGGAGAGGCUAGAGGUACUUCUGGGGUAGGGGUAAAAUCCUGUAAUCCUAGAAGGACCACCGGUGGCGAAGGCGUCUAGCUAGAACGGAUCCGACGGUGAGGGACGAAGCCCUGGGUCGCAAACGGGAUUAGAUACCCCGGUAGUCCAGGGUGUAAACGCUGCCGACUUGGUGUUGGAGGCCCUUCGGGGGCAUUCAGUGCCGGAGAGAAGUUGUUAAGUCGGCUACUUGGGGAGUACGUCCGCAAGGAUGAAACUUAAAGGAAUUGGCGGGGGAGCAC
Molecule: ribosomal RNA, 789 nt
Filed under: uncultured archaeon
Lineage: Archaea
Description: bacterial SSU rRNA
Rfam family: Archaeal small subunit ribosomal RNA
Source: RNAcentral